This 399-nucleotide long non-coding RNA is filed under the name Lathyrus oleraceus (garden pea). RNAcentral's name for it is "Pisum sativum (pea) long non-coding RNA (PSAT_LNC039763)". The record is from RNAcentral. Lineage: Eukaryota; Viridiplantae; Streptophyta; Magnoliopsida; Fabales; Fabaceae.
GAAUUCCAAAGAAUACCUUCUGCAAACCACUUUCCAGGCGCUCAGUUGGGAUUGGCCUUUUUGAUGCUUGAUUCUGAAAAGGUAACCUGAGCCACGCUUUUUCUUCAAUGUUUUGUCUGGAUUCCAAUUUGGGAAUUUUUGGAUUUUUACAACUUUGAGUAAUUCAAAAUUCUUACUGCAGUGAAAUUCUUGUAGCAGGAAGGUUGUGGAUUCUGUGUAUGCCUCUGGUUGUUAAUCAACAUGCAAAGUGGGCUAAGUUUCAAGACUGAGCUUACAUAUUUAACUUGGUGUAGUAUUAUGAUGAUGUGUUUGUGCAGUAUGAUGCAAUUAUUCCUGGUCUGAGUAUAUGCUGGAUGAUGCAUGGUUGAAUGUUGCAGGUGUUGCUGGAAUACGCAAAUU